Molecule: long non-coding RNA, 1128 nt
Organism: Otolemur garnettii (small-eared galago)
Lineage: Eukaryota; Metazoa; Chordata; Mammalia; Primates; Galagidae
Exons: 5
Source: RefSeq, a predicted model, not a curated record
GGCUGUGCGCCGGCCCCGGGUCAGCAGGCAGAUCUCUGCAGUAAUUGAGAAGAGGCUUUAGGACCUGUGCCCAGAACUCCUUGUCACUGGGCCUCUAGCAGUCAACCCAGCUUUAUCAGGCUCCUCCCUAGACUUGGGACAAACUAUUGAUUACCUCCCACACCAGGGUGCCUAAAUCCUCCAAACACUGUCUCUCUCCAGACUUGCACAAUUACUGCAUUACUGCUUCCUGUUUUUCCCACUCUCUCCAAAUUGAAGCUGACCAACAGGCAGGUCUUGCCCGCCUCCAGAGUCCCAAUUAUCCCACUCCAAUUCCAACUCCACCCUCAUUUCCCUAUUCCAAGGGGUGGACCUGGGGCAACUCACCCUUGUGUCCUUUCCCCUCCCAUGCCCUUGAAUGAAUACCUUUUCUCUGAAGGAGAAGAGCAGUGUUCAGGGACAGAGUGAAAAGUCACAGAGGUCUGCUGACCCCCAAAGUAGGAUCCAUCAGUGAGGCGGGUGUCCUGGGCGCCACGAGCCAGCACACUGAGCAGCCCAUGCUGGAUGAAGUACAUCUUCCUGCCCACGGAGCCCUCACGCACCACGAGGUCCCCUGGCUGGAAGACCUCAAAUCGCAGUUUGUCCCUGCUGACCUUCUCCUGGUACUGACGCCGGGAAGAAUCCAGAGACUGAAUGAGGGCGGUGGCAUGACCGAUGAACAUGGCGUAGCAUGUGGCACCCACAAUCAUGCUGAGCAUGCCCCUCUGCCCUCUUCUACUUCCAACCUUUCUCCUAGCAGACUGGAAGAAGACCCCUUAGAAGGCCCAGGAAGGCCCAGCUGUGGGGGCUUCUCACCACCAUGUGGUUGAUGGAGACCCAGCAGUCAGGAGGGAAGUCCUGCAGCAUGGGGACCAGGAACUGCAGACAGCCAUCCCAGUGACACAGCAGCAGCAUCAUCCCAAUGAGGUUGAAGAUGCGAACCACAGCACUGGCCAGGUCAUAGGUCAUGUGGAAGAUCUGAGGAGUCCGAGGAGGAGCUGCUAUGCAUACAAGCCCCUCCCUGCUGGUCCUCCUCCAUUCCCAGCCUUGUCAGUUCUCUCUCUGAACCUCUCCCUAGCUCCAGCCCCACAAAUUAAAAGAUAACUGUUA